AGUGAACGCUGGCGGUAGGCCUAACACAUGCAAGUCGAACGGCAGCACAGUAAGAGCUUGCUCUUACGGGUGGCGAGUGGCGGACGGGUGAGGAUUACAUCGGAAUCUACUUUUUCGUGGGGGAUAACGUAGGGAAACUUACGCUAAUACCGCAUACGACCUACGGGUGAAAGCAGGGGAUCUUCGGACCUUGCGCGAUUGAAUGAGCCGAUGUCGGAUUAGCUAGUUGGCGGGGUAAAGGCCCACCAGGGCGACGAUCCGUAGCUGGUCUGAGAGGAUGAUCAGCCACACUGGAACUGAGACACGGUCCAGACUCCUACGGGAGGCAGCAGUGGGGAAUAUUGGACAAUGGGCGCAAGCCUGAUCCAGCCAUACCGCGUGGGUGAAGAAGGCCUUCGGGUUGUAAAGCCCUUUUGUUGGGAAAGAAAAGCAGCAGGUUAAUACCCCGCUGUUCUGACGGUACCCAAAGAGUAAGCACCGGCUAACUUCGUG
Molecule: ribosomal RNA, 492 nt
Filed under: uncultured bacterium
Lineage: Bacteria
Description: partial 16S ribosomal RNA
Rfam family: Bacterial small subunit ribosomal RNA
Source: RNAcentral